Molecule: ribosomal RNA, 433 nt
Filed under: uncultured bacterium
Lineage: Bacteria
Description: partial 16S ribosomal RNA
Rfam family: Bacterial small subunit ribosomal RNA
Source: RNAcentral
AACGAACGCUGGCGGCAUGCCUAACACAUGCAAGUCGAACGAGACCUUCGGGUCUAGUGGCGCACGGGUGCGUAACGCGUGGGAACCUGCCCUUAGGUUCGGAAUAACUCCCCGAAAGGGGUGCUAAUACCGGAUAAUGUCUUCGGACCACAGGUUUAUCGCGUUUGUAUGGGCCCGCGUGGGAUUAGCUAGUUGGUAGGGGAAAAGCCUACCAAGGCGACGAUCCAUAGCUGGUCUGAGAGGAAGAUCAGCCACACUGGGACUGGGACACGGCCCAGACUCCUACGCGAGGCAGGAGUGGGGAAUAUUGGAAAAUGGGGGAAAGGAUGAUCCAGCAAUGCCGGGUGAGUGAUGAAGGCCGUAGGGUUGUAAAGCUCUUUUACCCGGGAUGAUAAUGACAGUACCGGGAGAAUAAGCUCCGGCUAACUACGUG